This 65-nucleotide transfer RNA is filed under the name Erotides cosnardi. Its description in RNAcentral is "tRNA-Trp". The record is from RNAcentral. Lineage: Eukaryota; Metazoa; Arthropoda; Insecta; Coleoptera; Lycidae.
AAGGAUUUAAGUUAAAUAAACUAAUAACCUUCAAAGUUAUAAAUAAGAUAAAAACUUAAGCCUUG